This 72-nucleotide transfer RNA is filed under the name Salmo salar (Atlantic salmon). It matches the Rfam family "tRNA". Rfam says of the family: Transfer RNA (tRNA) molecules are approximately 80 nucleotides in length. Their secondary structure includes four short double-helical elements and three loops (D, anti-codon, and T loops). Further hydrogen bonds mediate the characteristic L-shaped molecular structure. tRNAs have two regions of fundamental functional importance: the anti-codon, which is responsible for specific mRNA codon recognition, and the 3' end, to which the tRNAs corresponding amino acid is attached (by aminoacyl-tRNA synthetases). tRNAs cope with the degeneracy of the genetic code in two manners: having more than one tRNA (with a specific anti-codon) for a particular amino acid; and 'wobble' base-pairing, i.e. permitting non-standard base-pairing at the 3rd anti-codon position. Lineage: Eukaryota; Metazoa; Chordata; Actinopteri; Salmoniformes; Salmonidae. The record is from Rfam by way of RNAcentral.
UCCCAUGUGGCUCAGUUGGUAGAGCAUGGUGUUUGCAAUGCCAGAGUUGUGGGUUUGAUUCCCACGGGGGAC